RNAcentral lists this ribosomal RNA (120 nucleotides) under uncultured bacterium. RNAcentral describes it as "partial 16S ribosomal RNA". It matches the Rfam family "Bacterial small subunit ribosomal RNA", at positions 28 to 158 of the family's 1533-position model. The record is from RNAcentral.
GACGAACGCUGGCGGCGUGCCUAAAACAUGCAAGUCGAACGAGAUAGCAAUAUCUAGUGGCGAACGGCGGAGUAAUACAUAAGCAACGUGCCCCGAAGACUGGGAUAGCGGACCGAAAGG